RNAcentral lists this long non-coding RNA (887 nucleotides) under Homo sapiens (human). RNAcentral's name for it is "HSALNT0401938". Lineage: Eukaryota; Metazoa; Chordata; Mammalia; Primates; Hominidae. The record is from RNAcentral.
GUUGCAGCCUGCAGCCUGGCCAUCCUGCAGGCUGGGAAGCACAGCCCCUGGCAAAAACCAGACGCGAGCACUUCAGAGAAGGAAGGAUGAGACAGGAAUUGAAGCUGAACAGUUUCCAGAUGUGGCUGAAGGCAAACAGUAAUUGCCCGGUUUAAUGGAAGAUGGUUAAGCCUGUGUUGGACAUCUGCUGUCUUUGCCGCCCUAGUCUGCAUUUCCCAGUAUUCUGCCAGCAGAAACCCACAUCUGUACAAGCUCAAAAAAAAAAGAAAAGAAAAAGCCUGGGUGCUUUCUCCUUUGGCACCAGCGAGACAUCCAAACCAUGGAAACCUCUGCCCAUAUGGAAUGCUCACCCUGGUCCCACGGUGAAUCAUAAUAGAGACCCAAGCCAGUCACCUUUCCUGGCCCUCACAAACCAUUUCUGACCUGCUUGAGAGGUCUGCCCGGUUCUCCCAGAGACCUCAAUUAUCCUUUCAGAGCUGGAUGCAUAAGUCAAGCAGCAUCAAUGCCAAUGACCUGUGAGGAAACAUUUAAGAAGGAGACACUACCUCUCUUUUCUGAAGAAUCAAAUCAGUGACUCAUUCUAAUUCUCUUGGGUGUGUGGAAGGAGGAUGAGAGCUUUGAACCUACAGCUACUGUUUAGUAACUACGAGGCGAUGUCCUGAGAUUUCCUACUAGGUCUCUGUCUGAGGAUGUAGUCAGUAUUUGAAAAAAGAACAGAGGGAUAAGGAGAAAAAUCAUCUGUAGCAUGACUCAAGUUGCUGGAUCUAGCCUCACCUGAAGAGAUACAUCUUGGACUUUUCUGUUACAUGACCUGACAUCUUCUCUUUAAAUAUUUUUUGUAGACACAAUUCUUCAUGUGGACUUAUGUAUUAAAUUUUAGCUGAAUC